GAUCCUGCCGGACCCCACUGCUAUCGGGAUGGGACUAAGACAUGUUAGUCGUGCGCUUCCUAGCCAUGAUGGAGGCGCGGCGCACAGCUCAGUAGCACGUAGCUAACCUGCCCUUGAGACGGGAGCACCCCCGGGAAACUGGGGCUAAUUUCCGAUAGGUGAAGACUCCUGGAAUGGAUUUUCGCCCAAAGGACGCCUAGGUCAUGCUUCUAGGCGUCGCUCAAGGAUGGGGCCGCGGCCGAUCAGGUUGUUGGUGAGGUAACGGCUCACCAAGCCUUUAACCGGUGCGGGCCGUGGGAGCGGUAGCCCGGAGAUGGGCACUGAGACAAGGGCCCAGGCCCUACGGGGCGCAGCAGUCGCGCAAACUUCGCAAUAAGCGAAAGCUUGACGGGGCUAUCCCGAGUGCCAUCCGCUGAGGAUGGCUUUUGCCCAGUAUAGAUAGCUGGGAGAAUAAGGAGAGGGCAAGUCUGGUGUCAGCCGCCGCGGUAAUACCAGCUCUCCGAGUGGUGUGGACAUUUAUUGGGCCUAAAGCAUCCGUAGCCGGCUGGGCAAGUCCCCUGUUAAAUCCAGCGAAUUAAUCGUUGGCCUGCGGGGGAUACUGCUCGGCUAGGAGGCGGGAGAGGCCGUCGGUAUUCCCGGGGUAGGGGUGAAAUCCUAUAAUCCCGGGAGGACCACCAGUGGCGAAGGCUGUCGGCUAGAACGCGCUCGACGGUGAGGGAUGAAAGCUGGGGGAGCGAACCGGAUUAGAUACCCGGGUAGUCCCAGCUGUAAACGAUGCAGGCUAGGUGUUAGGGCGGCCACGUGCCGCUCUAGUGCCGCAGGGAAACUGUUAAGCCUGCCGCCUGGGGAGUACGGCCGCAAGGCUGAAACUUAAAGGAAUUGGCGGGGGAGCACCACAAGGGGUGAAGCUUGCGGUUUAAUUGGAUUCAACGCCGGG
Molecule: ribosomal RNA, 937 nt
Filed under: uncultured archaeon
Lineage: Archaea
Description: bacterial SSU rRNA
Rfam family: Archaeal small subunit ribosomal RNA
Source: RNAcentral